AACGAACGCUGGCGGCAUGCCUAACACAUGCAAGUCGAACGAGACCUUCGGGUCUAGUGGCGCACGGGUGCGUAACGCGUGGGAAUCUGCCCUUGGGUUCGGAAUAACAGCGAGAAAUUGCUGCUAAUACCGGAUGAUGACGUAAGUCCAAAGAUUUAUCGCCCAAGGAUGAGCCCGCGUAGGAUUAGCUAGUUGGUGAGGUAAAGGCUCACCAAGGCGACGAUCCUUAGCUGGUCUGAGAGGAUGAUCAGCCACACUGGGACUGAGACACGGCCCAGACUCCUACGGGAGGCAGCAGUGGGGAAGUAUUGGACAAUGGGCGGAAAGACCUGAUCCACGCAAUAGCCGCGUGAGUGAUGAAGG
RNAcentral lists this ribosomal RNA (363 nucleotides) under uncultured bacterium. RNAcentral describes it as "bacterial SSU rRNA". It matches the Rfam family "Bacterial small subunit ribosomal RNA", at positions 29 to 414 of the family's 1533-position model. The record is from RNAcentral.